CAGCUCUCCGAGUGGUAGGGAUGAUUAUUGGGCUUAAAGCGUCCGUAGCCGGCUUAGCAAGUCUCCUGUUAAAUUCAGCGACCUAAUCGUUGAGCCGCGGGAGAUACUACUAGGCUAGGAGGCGGGAGAGGUCGACGGUACUCUCGGGGUAGGGGUGAAAUCCUAUAAUCCCGGGAGGACCACCAGUGGCGAAGGCUGUCGACUAGAACGCGCUCGACGGUGAGGGACGAAAGCUGGGGGAGCGAACCGGAUUAGAUACCCGAGUAGUCC
Molecule: ribosomal RNA, 270 nt
Filed under: uncultured archaeon
Lineage: Archaea
Description: partial 16S ribosomal RNA
Rfam family: Archaeal small subunit ribosomal RNA
Source: RNAcentral